GAAGUUACUUCGGUACAUCGGUGCAGGUGGUGCAUGGUUGUCGUCAGCUCGUGUCGUGAGAUGUUGGGUUAAGUCCCGCAACGAGCGCAACCCCUAUUGUUAGUUGCCAUCAUUCAGUUGGGCACUCUAGCGAGACUGCCGGUAAUAAACCGGAGGAAGGUGGGGAUGACGUCAAAUCAUCAUGCCCCUUAUGACCUGGGCUACACACGUGCUACAAUGGUUGGUACAACGAGUUGCGAGUCGGUGACGGCGAGCUAAUCUCUUAAAGCCAAUCUCAGUUCGGAUUGUAGGCUGCAACUCGCCUACAUGAAGUCGGAAUCGCUAGUAAUCGCGGAUCAGCACGCCGCGGUGAAUUACCGGUUCCCGGGCCUU
Molecule: ribosomal RNA, 372 nt
Filed under: uncultured Streptococcus sp.
Lineage: Bacteria; Bacillati; Bacillota; Bacilli; Lactobacillales; Streptococcaceae
Description: bacterial SSU rRNA
Rfam family: Bacterial small subunit ribosomal RNA
Source: RNAcentral